CUUCCUUCGGUUGACUCCUCCUUCCUUGACCCACGGAAGCGGAAGCAAACCCCUCCUUCAAUCCAAUUGAAACGUGCGUCGGGAUCCCUCCUCAUUAAGCGGGUCGACCCGUCUCCGUUCCCCAUCUCCCGUCUGAGCAUCUCUCUCACCCCAAACGACACCCACCCGGCGACGGACGCAUCCGAAGUCAGCCGCCACUACGGUGGCGAUGGCGGGGUAGGAGCGCAAGGCAAUCGAUCUGGAGGAUGGGUGGAAUUUCAAGCAGAAGGGCAAAAUCUACAACCUCAUCAAUAUCCCCGAGCGCAAGCUAGAACUGCAGUUUAGUUCUACAGGAAAAAUUGGGAGCCUUCACCAUGGCCGCCAAUAUCCAUCUACGGGUACAUCUUGCUCCCUUACUAGCUGUACAAUAUUCUAGCCUAAUGAUGUGUUUAUUAAUCCCCAAUUCAUGGAUUCUUGCUUCCUAUCCUUUCAAUUUGUUCAUGUACCAGAUUCAAGGGGCAAUUACCUCACACAUCUUGAUCUGUCAUCUCCUUUUUCCGAGUCAGGUUUGAUGAAGAUUUGGAUAACUAGAUAGAUUUAUGUGGAAAUUCUGUACACUUCGCCCGAUGAUUUUCGCGGGCAGGCGAUAGCUACAUAUGCAGCCAAAUUAAUUUACCAUGCAUGUUCUGCAAUUUUUCAUUUAAUGAUUUUAUAUCGUAUAUGGGUUAAUGAUUUCCUUAUAUAUAAAUGCUUAUGAUAAGAUUGUGUGCGUUUGUAGAUAAGGCAUCACGAAUAGCCAUAGUUGAAUAAAAGCGUCAGGUAUGAGCUACUACAUUUUUUUAAUUGAUUAUAUAUUGUGAGAAUAGCUAGAGCGCUUGUGGCCAUACUGCUCCAUGUCUUAUGUACAAUCAAUAUUGUAUCAUGAUUGCACUGUAUGCCAAGUGAAUAUGUAGUCCGCCUAGAUUAAUGUUAGGAUGCAGUAUGUGCGUUAUGAUCCCAACUAGAAAUUGGACAAGAACUGUUUUUUUGGUCCGUGAUGGUUUUUUCUCUCAGUUAUGUAAAUACGUGAAAUAUUUGAAAGGUGUUUUUAUUAUUUCAAGUAAUGCGGUAUUUAGCAAUCCCAUUUCAUAGAACUAUUUACUUCCCCAUUGCAAAAGUGUCUAUUUGACAGGUAAGAAUAGACACGGUCUAGCAUCCAUUAGAUGUGAACCCGAUUUCAGUUUUGCCAAAUGUCUUUAGAACUUCAGUCAUCACGUUAAUUAACCCUUUUUAUCUCCAUAUAUAGGGCUAUGUCUGUCAGCAUUUUCAACUUAUGAAGCCGACAAGCUAACAUUCUUAUUUAUAAAUGAAAAUAGUGAAGCCUCUCCAUGACUUUUGAGGGGAAAAAAGGUCGGCCUACAUGUUUCUUAGUUUUGAAGGAUUGCUGCCGACCGCAAGUGUAUUGGUGGUCAUCUUAAGAUCUCACCCGGAGCAGCAUCUGUUUUCUAUCUCGCUGUCACCUAUGCCUUAAGAAUUCCAGUUUAUGCAUAUUUGUUGUAUUAGUUCUCACGCUGGACAUUCAACUUAUGGUAUAUCUUCUUUCAUGAUUAAACUUUGCCGGCCGUAUAGGACGGGUUAUACAAUCCUAUGUUGUAUUGAAUCAACUCCUGUGUGUAGGAACGUAGACCAUGGAAAAUGCGGCAUAACUGAAAAAGAACUAUUCUGUAGGAUACUUACACUUAGCCACCACUUAGCAGCUAAACCUCGAGCGCUUAAAUAUUUUUUGCAUUUUAACACAUGGUUCUCAUACUUAAUUGGUUGUGAAGGUCACAACUAUGUACAGCUGGUCAAUGAACUUGGUGGGUAAUAUAGAUCUUCCAAUUAACAAAAUUUGUUGAAUUAAAUGUAAAACGAAUAUAGUUCCUUUUUACAUUAUUUAUUAUUAUGUGGUUUUCCAGAUUUUUUUGGUCUAGGUAGUGAUGACUUCCUAAAUUUGCUCACCAUUUUUUUUCCUUCUUUUGGUCUCGCACAUGUAAUCUUAAAGGAUUGGAUUUACACCAAGGCAUAUCCAUCUCACUACAUUAGCCUCUCAAUUGCUUUCAUUGUGGAA
This is a long non-coding RNA of Aegilops tauschii subsp. strangulata, 2068 nucleotides long. RefSeq lists it as uncharacterized. NCBI's taxonomy places the organism in Eukaryota, Viridiplantae, Streptophyta, Magnoliopsida, Poales, Poaceae. The record is from RefSeq and is a predicted model, not a curated record.